AGGGCACCACCAGGAGUGGAGCCUGCGGCUUAAUUUGACUCAACACGGGAAAACUCACCCGGCCCGGACACUGGAAGCAUUGACAGAUUGAGAGCUCUUUCUUGAUUCAGUGGGUGGUGGUGCAUGGCCGUUCUUAGUUGGUGGAGUGAUUUGUCUGGUUAAUUCCGAUAACGAACGAGACUCUAGCCUACUAAAUAGAUCGUCGGCUUACAAACGCCGGUGAGACUUCUUAGAGGGACAGGCGGUGAUUCAACCGCACGAAACAGAGCAAUAACAGGUCUGUGAUGCCCUUAGAUGUCCGGGGCCGCACGCGCGCUACACUGAAGUGAUCAGCGUGCUUUUUCAACCUACUCUGUCAAGAGUGGGGAACCCAAUGAACCUUCUUCGUGAUUGGGAUAGGGGAUUGUAAUUAUUCCCCUUGAACGAGGAAUUCCCAGUAAGCGCGAGUCAUAAGCUCGCGUUGAUUACGUCCCUGCCCUUUGUAUACACCGCCCGUCGCUACUACCGAUUGAAUGUUUU
Molecule: ribosomal RNA, 519 nt
Filed under: uncultured eukaryote
Lineage: Eukaryota
Description: SSU rRNA
Rfam family: Eukaryotic small subunit ribosomal RNA
Source: RNAcentral